CGGGGGGGGGGCAAGCGUUGUUCGGAAUUACUGGGGCGUAAAGGGGCGCGCAGGCGGCCUGGCAAGUCCUACGUGAAAUCCCACAGCUCAACUGUGGAACUGCGUGGGAUACUGCCAGGCUUGAGUCCGGGAGAGGAGAGUGGAAUUCCCAGUGUAGCGGUGAAAUGCGUAGAUAUUGGGAGGAACACCGGUGGCGAAGGCGGCUCUCUGGACCGGUACUGACGCUGAGGCGCGAAAGCUAGGGGAGCAAACGGGAUUAGACACCCCGGUAGUCCUAGCCGUAAACUUUGAGCACUUUGUGUGGCGGGUAUCGACCCCUGCCGUGCAGAAGCUAACGCAUUAAGUGCUCCGCCUGGGGAGUACGGUCGCAAAGGCUG
This 377-nucleotide ribosomal RNA is filed under the name uncultured organism. Its description in RNAcentral is "partial 16S ribosomal RNA". It matches the Rfam family "Bacterial small subunit ribosomal RNA", at positions 524 to 896 of the family's 1533-position model. The record is from RNAcentral.